AGAGUUUGAUCCUGGCUCAGGAUGAACGCUAGCGACAGGCUUAACACAUGCAAGUCGAGGGGCAGCGGGGGCGUAGCAAUAUGCCUGCCGGCGACCGGCGCACGGGUGAGUAACACGUAUGUAACCUGCCCUAUGCAGGGGGAUAACCCGGAGAAAUCCGGCCUAAUACCGCGUAACACCUUAGGGGAGCAUUCUCUUGAGGUUAAAGGAGAGAUCCGGCAUAGGAUGGACAUGCGUCGCAUUAGGUAGACGGCGGGGUAACGGCCCACCGUGCCGAAGAUGCGUAGGGGUUCUGAGAGGAAGGCCCCCCACACUGGUACUGAGACACGGACCAGACUCCUACGGGAGGCAGCAGUGAGGAAUAUUGGUCAAUGGCCGAGAGGCUGAACCAGCCAAGUCGCGUGAGGGAAGAAUGUCCUAAGGAUUGUAAACCUCUUUUGUCGGGGAGCAAAAAGGCUCUGCGGAGUCGUAUUGAGAGUACCCGAAGAAAAAGCAUCGGCUAACUCCGUGCCAGCAGCCGCGGUAAUACGGAGGAUGCGAGCGUUAUCCGGAUUUAUUGGGUUUAAAGGGUGCGCAGGCGGCGUGUCAAGCAAGCGGUAAAAUAGCGGGGCUCAACCCCGUCGAGCCGUUUGAACUGGCGCGCUUGAGUUCAGGCGAGGUAGGCGGAAUUCGUGGUGUAGCGGUGAAAUGCAUAGAUAUCACGAAGAACUCCGAUUGCGAAGGCAGCUUACCAGUCUGCGACUGACGCUCAGGCACGAAAGUGUGGGUAUCGAACAGGAUUAGAUACCCUGGUAGUCCACACAGUAAACGAUGAGCGCUAGGUGUCCGGGUCGCAUGAGACUUGGGUGCCCGAGCGAAAGCGUUAAGCGCUCCACCUGGGGAGUACGCCGGCAACGGUGAAACUCAAAGGAAUUGACGGGGGCCCGCACAAGCGGAGGAACAUGUGGUUUAAUUCGAUGAUACGCGAGGAACCUUACCCGGGCUCAAACGACUCAGGAAUAUAUUGGAAACGAUGUAGCCAGCAAUGGUCUGAGUCGAGGUGCUGCAUGGUUGUCGUCAGCUCGUGCCGUGAGGUGUCGGCUUAAGUGCCAUAACGAGCGCAACCCCUACCGCCAGUUGCCAACGGGUAAAGCCGGGAACUCUGGCGGGACUGCCGGCGCAAGCUGCGAGGAAGGCGGGGAUGACGUCAAAUCAGCACGGCCCUUACGUCCGGGGCGACACACGUGUUACAAUGGCAGGUACAGCGGGAAGCCACCUGGUGACAGGGAGCGGAACCCGAAAGCCUGUCUCAGUUCGGAUUGGAGUCUGCAACUCGACUCCAUGAAGCUGGAUUCGCUAGUAAUCGCGCAUCAGCCAUGGCGCGGUGAAUACGUUCCCGGGCCUUGUACUCACCGCCCGUCA
This 1401-nucleotide ribosomal RNA is filed under the name uncultured bacterium. Its description in RNAcentral is "16S ribosomal RNA". It matches the Rfam family "Bacterial small subunit ribosomal RNA". The record is from RNAcentral.